GGUUGGUCCAAAAGUAAUAGGUUACCAAAAGUUAUUACUGUUAGUUCCACUAACCUUUCUAAGAUCCACUCCAUUCUUAACCUUAUCUGGUUUUUG
This 96-nucleotide non-coding RNA is filed under the name Notechis scutatus (mainland tiger snake). Lineage: Eukaryota; Metazoa; Chordata; Lepidosauria; Squamata; Elapidae. The record is from RNAcentral.